Molecule: ribosomal RNA, 254 nt
Filed under: uncultured Lachnospiraceae bacterium
Lineage: Bacteria; Bacillati; Bacillota; Clostridia; Lachnospirales; Lachnospiraceae
Description: partial 16S ribosomal RNA
Rfam family: Bacterial small subunit ribosomal RNA
Source: RNAcentral
UACGUAGGGGGCAAGCGUUAUCCGGAUUUACUGGGUGUAAAGGGAGCGCAGGCGGCGCGGCAAGUCUGAUGUGAAAGCCCGGGGCUCAACCCCGGGACUGCAUUGGAAACUGUCGCGCUCGAGUGUCGGAGAGGUAAGUGGAAUUCCUAGUGUAGCGGUGAAAUGCGUAGAUAUUAGGAGGAACACCAGUGGCGAAGGCGGCCGCCUGGCCUGUUAACUGACGCUGAGGCACGAAAGCGUGGGGAGCAAAUAGG